RNAcentral lists this ribosomal RNA (292 nucleotides) under uncultured Rubrobacter sp. RNAcentral's name for it is "partial 16S ribosomal RNA". It matches the Rfam family "Bacterial small subunit ribosomal RNA", at positions 377 to 662 of the family's 1533-position model. Lineage: Bacteria; Bacillati; Actinomycetota; Rubrobacteria; Rubrobacterales; Rubrobacteraceae. The record is from RNAcentral.
GAAAGCCUGAUGCAGCAACGCCGUGUGAGCGACGAAGGCCCUAGGGUCGUAAAGCUCUGUUGUUAGGGACGAAGGGCGAAGGGUUAAUAGCCCUUAGCCUGACGGUACCUUUCGAGGAAGCCCCGGCUAACUACGUGCCAGCAGCCGCGGUAAUACGUAGGGGGCGAGCGUUGUCCGGAAUUAUUGGGCGUAAAGGGCGCGUAGGCGGCCUGGUAAGUCUGCUGUGAAACCUUGGGGCUCAACCCCAAGCGUGCAGUGGAUACUGUCAGGCUAGAGGAUGGUAGAGGCCAGU